UUAUUUCUCCAAUACCACAUUCUCCAACAGGCUACCAUGAAAAUAUCUUUCCAAUCAAACUCCCUUCUCUUCCCUAGUUGCUGUGUCAAAUUCAGAUUUACUCAUCCCUCCCAGUUUAGGUUGAAGAAUGAUUGAAUUUUAGAUGAAUCUAAGAGUUGGACCCAAAUUAUUGAUACUCUCUGGCAAUUCCUUAACACAUGUAUGCAACUUUCCUGCGUUCCAUGGCAAGCAUAACAGUCUCCGCUUUCUCCAAACAUUUUUUAUUUUAUGUCAUUUGUUAGAAUUCUUCUACGGAGAGCGGUCCACAUGAACACUUUAAUUUUUUGUGUCCCUUUCCAUUCCCAUAUCUACUUCCAUAUUGUUUUUUGGGGUUUUGACCAAUUGCUUAGGGCUUUAUAAGUUGCUGCCAUUGAGAAAUCUACAUCCUCUGUGUGCUUCUAGCCUCUCUUAUCUCCCUCUUGAUCUUGAUUUGGUGGGCAAUUUGGUGGGCACAUUGCUGUGAUUUUGUGAACUAUUGCUUCUGGUAAAUUGAGUCUAAGUUAUUCUCUAUCCCAUUCUCCUGACUGAUUGGUCUAGUCCUUCACCAUGCUAUUGCUAUUCAUGUUUGGGUUGAGAGUAUAAUUUUUAAGAGCUCCUUCUCCCAACACCCAUUGAUCUUUCCAGAAGUUGGUUGCGCAGCCAUCUCCUAUGUAUUGUAUUGAAUUUUCUUGAUAAAUAGGUCAUAUUUUCACUAGUUCCUUCCAAAGCGUGGAAUCAGAGCUUUUGCUUCUUAUGUUGUUUUUCAAUUGCCCUCCCAGAUAGUACUUAUGUUUUAGCACCUCAACCCAUAGCUUCUCAGGUUCUCCUUCCAUUUGCCAAAGGAUCUUCAUCAAGAAGGCAUCAUUCAUUGAUGUGAGUUUCCUGAAUCCCAUACCCCUUUCGUGCUUAGGACGACAUAGAGUUUUCCAACUGAUUAAGUGUAUUUUCCGAUGCUUGGGUUCAUCCCCCAUAUGAAGCUCCUCUGAAGCUUUUUGAUUUCCUGACAAACUCCUUUAGGAACUCUAUCAUGUUGCAUUUGGAAGUUAAGAGCAGGACUAAUGGUUGCUUGAGCCAGCAUUAAUCUUUCCGCAAGAGAUAGACACUUACUCUUCCAUCCAUUGAGUUUGCUUUGAACCCUUCCCAUAAAAUCUUUGAACUUCUCCUUGCCUCUUCUAUUAUUUAUAAUCAGGGGCUCCAAGGUAUUUUUCCAAUUCCUUUUGUUCUCUGAAUUUUGCUAUGUCCAUAAUGCUCCUCCUUAAAUUUAUAUUUGUGCUUUUUGAGAAGACAAUUGAAGAUUUUUCUUCGUUAAUUUUCUGUCCAGACACCUUACAAAAUUUUUCUAGCGUUUCUUUAACCCUUUGCAUUUGUUCUUGGCUGGCUUUUGUGAAUAAAAGAACAUCAUCAGCAAAGAUCAGAUAAGAUAUUCUUGGUCCCCUUCUUCCCGCUGCCAUAGGUUUCCACUCUCCUAGAUGCACCAACUCCUCUAUCAGCUGAGAUAGCUUGUCCAUGCAGAUAACGAAAAGCACCUUAUAGGUCACAUUACACAGUGCUAUCGGCCAAAACUGGUUGAUGGACUAUGGAUGGUUAAGCUUUGGAACUAGCGCAAUGAGUGUGAAAUUGGCUUGCUUUAUGAUCUCCAGUUCAUUCCAACAACUCUGGAUAAAAUCACACACUUUGUUCUUCAUGAUCCCCCAAUUAUUUUUAUAGAUAAGCGCCGAAAAGCCAUCACUUCCUGGAGCCUUGAGAGAUCCUAUGUUGAACAAAGCCCUUUGAAUUUCCAUUUCUGUAGGAGUAGCUGCAAGCUUCCUGCAAUCAGACAAACUGAAAUUAGGGAGGUCGUAAUGGUCUAAUUCAAAAGGAAUAAUUUUUACCUUUUCUUGAUAAAGGUUUUUGAAAUGGCAAGUGAUAUGCUUUUUCAAUUCCUCUUCUUCUUUAAUCCAAUCCCCUUCUUGUCCUCUGAGUUUAAGAAUUCUAUUUUUUCCUCUUUUAACUAUAGCUUUGGUGUGGUAGAACUUAGUGUUUCUAUCUCCAUCCAUGAUCCAUUUCUCCCUCGAUUUUUGUAAUCAAAAGGUUUCUUCCUUGUCUAGAACUUCGUUUAGCUCCCUUAUAAGCUUCUGUUCCAAACCAUCUAAGUAAGGAUUUUUCCAUAUGUGCUACUUCUCUGAAUUCCUGCAAGUUUAUUUUGUAUUCUUCUUUUAGUUUUGAAAAUAUUCCCAAAACAGCUCUUGUUCCAUUCGAUUAAGUCCUUCUUUAGUUUUUCAAGAGCAUUUUUGAGAUGAUAAUGAUUAUUCCAACUUGUUUCAAUUAAAUUUUGGAAGUCUGGAUGCAUAGUCUAUAUAGCCUCAAAGCGAAACAAUCUAUCCCUUGUUCCAUUUAAGCAUUUUUCAGUAGUAAUUAAUAAAGGAUGAUGAUCAGAUUUCAUUCUUGUGAGCACCUCCACUGUAGCUUCAUGGAAUCUGUUUCUCCAACUUGAAUUAGCCAUAGCCCUGCCCAAUCUUUUAAAGAUUCUUUCUUGGCCUUCCCAUUGAGGCCCUCUCCAUGUGAAUCUCGAACCGAUGAAACCCAGGUCAAUUAAACCACAGUUAUUGAUCCAAUUAGUGAAAGCAUUGCAAGCCCUCAGGUCUGUGGCUGCACCUCCCCUGUUUUCUGAAUGAUCUUUAAUCUCAUUAAAAUCCCCUGCAAUAAGCCACUCCCCACUAACAGUGUUAGCUAUGUUCUGUAAUUUGGGCCAUAGCUCCUUUCUAAUUUAUGGAUGAGGAUUGGCAUAUACUGCAGUGAAAAACCACUCUCUUCUUCCAUAUUCUUGGACCUUAAUGUGUAUAUAUUGUUGAUGUGCUUCUAUUGAAGUAAUAUUGAUGUCACUCCUAUUCCAGAAAAUCCAGAUCCCACCUGUAAAACCUUGAGCUUCUUCAAUAAUGUAAUUAGUGUAUCCUAAUUGCUUAAUAACAUUUCUAGCAGCUUGUCCGCUACAUUUUGUUUCUAAAAGAAUGGUAAUGUCUGGCUUAUAUUAUUUCAUCAUCUCUUUAUAAAUCCUUCUAAAUGCUCCACUAGCAGCCCCUCUAACAUUCCAGAUUAUAGUGAUCAUUAAAAGGGAUAACUAAAGGUUUAAGAAAACUAAAACAGCAAAAAA
Arachis ipaensis is the source of this 3148-nucleotide non-coding RNA. NCBI's taxonomy places the organism in Eukaryota, Viridiplantae, Streptophyta, Magnoliopsida, Fabales, Fabaceae. The record is from RefSeq and is a predicted model, not a curated record.